RNAcentral lists this ribosomal RNA (350 nucleotides) under uncultured bacterium. Its description in RNAcentral is "bacterial SSU rRNA". It matches the Rfam family "Bacterial small subunit ribosomal RNA", at positions 28 to 373 of the family's 1533-position model. The record is from RNAcentral.
GAUGAACGCUAGCGGCAGGCUUAAUACAUGCAAGUCGAGGGGCAGCAGGGUAGCAAUAUCGCUGGCGACCGGCGCACGGGUGCGUAACACGUAUACAAUCUGCCUUUAACAGGGGGAUAGCCUUUCGAAAGAGAGAUUAAUACCCCAUAAUAGUUGGUUUGGCAUCAAACUAAUUUGAAAGUUCCGACGGUUAAAGAUGAGUAUGCGUCUGAUUAGCUAGUAGGUGAGGUAACGGCUCACCUAGGCCACGAUCAGUAGGGGAUCUGAGAGGACUACCCCCCACACGGAUACUGAGACACGGAUCCGACUCCUACCGGGAGGGCAGCAGUAAAGGGAAAUAUUGGACAAUG